RNAcentral lists this ribosomal RNA (460 nucleotides) under uncultured bacterium. RNAcentral's name for it is "bacterial SSU rRNA". It matches the Rfam family "Bacterial small subunit ribosomal RNA", at positions 338 to 795 of the family's 1533-position model. The record is from RNAcentral.
CCUACGGGAGGCAGCAGUAAGGAAUAUUGGUCAAUGGGCGGAAGCCUGAACCAGCCAUGCCGCGUGCAGGAUGACAGCCCUAUGGGUCGUAAACUGCUUUUGUACCAGAAUAAACCUAUUUUCGUGAAAGUAGCUGAAUGUAUGGUAAGAAUAAGGAUCGGCUAACUCCGUGCCAGCAGCCGCGGUAAUACGGAGGAUCCAAGCGUUAUCCGGAUUUAUUGGGUUUAAAGGGAGCGUAGGCGGCCUGUUAAGUCAGAGGUGAAAGACGGUAGCUCAACUAUCGCAGUGCCUUUGAUACUGACGGGCUUGAAUACAGAUGAGGUAGGCGGAAUGUGACAAGUAGCGGUGAAAUGCAUAGAUAUGUCACAGAACACCGAUUGCGAAGGCAGCUUACUAAACUGUGAUUGACGCUGAGGCUCGAAAGCGUGGGGAUCAAACAGGAUUAGAUACCCUGGUAGUC